GUGUUCCCAAAUUUUUAACCUCAAUGCCUCUUCUAGUGUUAUUUAUAAUCUUUAUGAUUAGAAUAUCUAGCCGACCUUCGACUUUGUGCAAGCUGUUUUUGUAUUCAAACUGCACUUUUCCUACCUCCUGGUGUCUUAGGGGUGCCUUACAUGCUUGUGUGAUGGAAGACGGGUUGAGGCAGCAUUUUCCUUGCGAUAGUAACUUCUAGU
Paramuricea clavata is the source of this 210-nucleotide non-coding RNA. The record is from the annotation of a GenBank genome assembly. Lineage: Eukaryota; Metazoa; Cnidaria; Anthozoa; Malacalcyonacea; Plexauridae.